This 96-nucleotide ribosomal RNA is filed under the name Salvator merianae (Argentine black and white tegu). The record is from RNAcentral. Lineage: Eukaryota; Metazoa; Chordata; Lepidosauria; Squamata; Teiidae.
GCUGGCCCUCAACUAUUUUGACUGAUCUCAGAAACUAAGCCGGGCUAGGUUAGUACUUGGAUGGGAAACCACCUGGGGAUACCAAGCUCUCCAGUG